This 440-nucleotide ribosomal RNA is filed under the name uncultured bacterium. RNAcentral's name for it is "partial 16S ribosomal RNA". It matches the Rfam family "Bacterial small subunit ribosomal RNA", at positions 338 to 795 of the family's 1533-position model. The record is from RNAcentral.
CCUACGGGAGGCAGCAGUGGGGAAUAUUGCACAAUGGGGGAAACCCUGAUGCAGCGACGCCGCGUGAGUGAAGAAGUAUUUCGGUAUGUAAAGCUCUAUCAGCAGGGAAGAAAAUGACGGUACCUGAUUAAGAAGCCCCGGCUAACUACGUGCCAGCAGCCGCGGUCAUACGUAGGGGGCAAGCGUUAUCCGGAGUUACUGGGUGUAAAGGGAGCGUAGACGGCAGCACAAGUCUGGAGUGAAAUGCUGGGGCUUAACCCGGGAACUGCUUUGGAAACUGUGCGGCUAGAGUGCAGGAGAGGGAAGUGGAAUUCCUGGUGUAGCGGUGAAAUGCGUAGAGAUUAGGAGGAAUACCAGUGGCGAAGGCGGCUUACUGGACUGUAACUGACGUUGAGGCGCGAAAGCGUGGGGAGCAAACAGGAUUAGAUACCCUGGUAGUC